UUAUAAAGAAAGAAACUGACAACAAACUUGAACACAAACAGGUCAAGUGGUUUUAUCCAUUUUCCCUUUCACAUUUCUUUAUACUUUCCCUGAAAAUAUGCUGCUUGGAGCAUGCAACCCUUUAUUCCAUUCCUUGUAUACUUUUUUACCUUGGAAGCCAAAUUAUCAGCAAAAGUGGGAUGGCAAAUAUUGGAGAAUCUCCAAAUUUUGUCAUUACCAAGAUUUCAGUGUAUAUAUAUUCCCUGAAUAUAUGUUCUUUAUAGCGUGCGACCCUUAGCCUUAUUCCAUUCCGUGUAUAUCAUUACUUAACCUUUAUUCUCUCUCUAGAAAACUACGGCGCAUCAAUGAAAAAGAAAGACAAGAAAAAAAAAAAAAGAAGAAAAAGGAAAGAACAUGUUGAUGUCAGAUGUUCCAGUUAGCAGUUUUCCUUUAGCUUCUGUCUCAAGGAACGCAUUGAUUCAGCUUCUGUCUCAAGGAACGCAUUGAUUCUUUCUUUCUCUAUUAAAAAGAUUUCCUUCCUUUUUUUUCUUUAUAUAUUACAUUUCUUUUUCUCUGUACUUUUGAGAGAAAGAAGCCAUUCAUUUUCUCACCCAAGUUUGUUUUUCUAAGGGUGUGAUCAUCAUUGGAUACAACAGGGACUUUGCGGAAGAAGAAGAGAAAAAAGAGAGAUUUAAAAGUUUGAGUUUUUGUUUUUGGAUAGAAAUAUUGAAAUGGGAUCAUCUUCAGGACAAAGUAGUGAAAGCUAUGAUCAUUCAUUUAAGAUCGUGUUGAUCGGCGACACGGCUGUCGGCAAGAGUAGUUUGGCCGCUAGCUUCAUUUCAGAUUCUGCAGCAGAUCUAGAUAAAACCAUUGGUGUGGAUCUUAACAUCAAGUUGUUAACUGUUGGUGGGAAGAGAUUAAAGCUUACUAUUUGGGAUACUGCUGGACAGGAAAGGUACAGAACAUUAACAAGCUCUUACUAUAGAGGUGCCCAUGGGAUCAUACUUGUUUAUGACGUAACAGAGAGAGAAACCUUCACGAGUUUGUCUGAUGUUUGGGCCAAAGAAGUGGAGCUCUAUUCUACCAAUAAGGACUGUGUCAAGAUGCUUGUUGGAAAUAAAGUUGAUAGAGAUCCUGAAAGGGCUGUAAGUAGAGAAGAAGGGACUGCACUUGCAAAAGAGCUUGGAUGUAUGUUUCUUGAAUGCAGUACUAAAACAAGACAAAACGUGGAGAGAUGCUUUGAGGAGCUUGCAUUGAAGAUGAUGGAAGCUCCUAGUCUUUCGCAAGAAGGGUCUGCUGAAGGAAAGCAAAACAUCAUAGAGCCGAAACCAGCGUACACGUCUCCUCCAAAAGGAGAUUGUUGUAGUUGCCAGUAAAUUGCAGCAAUAUGAAGGCCUCAACAUGAAGGGCUGACUUACAUGUAUCAAUUGAACGCUUCAAUUGAUAAUUUCCACCUUAGCAGAUUGUGAACAAAUCAUGUAUAUGAUAAUUUCUUUUGAUAUUCUAUACUGCUGUUCUUCCCAGUGGAGUUGCCAUGGCUAAUGGUAAUCUCAAAGGUUAUUUGGAUGAAAGAUUAAAAGGCAACCUUAGGCAAGCUGGAGAUGACAUAUACGCAAUGACAGUACAAUACAAUCAAUCUGGUCUGAGGCUGAGCAAAAUAAAGGUCAAAGUACUGGAACUUAUUUUCUUUUGAAGGAAAUGGAAGAAUAAUUCAGCAUAGCUGACAACAACCAUAUAUGAUGAACAUUUCUAUCUCUGCAAAUCUUUGCCUUGUAUCUCUUGCAAUAGAAUUAGAAAUGAAAACCUGCUCCACGUUGAAAUAUGUUUGGACACUCUGUUGAAAAGGGUUUCAACUUUCAACAAUUUCGGCAUGCUCAAAGAUAUGUAAGUCAUGGGUGUAUGUCAUUCACCAGCCAAUUCUUGCCCCAUUUGAUGUUGGAAGUCGGAACAGCCUUCAAACAAAGAUCAAACACCAGUGAUAAAUGAUAAUUACAUUGUGGAAAUUUGUACAUUAGUUUUUAAUGUUACCCUUUCCGUCUCAUCCACGUCAGCUUUGUUUGUUUUCGACCCACUGCUCACAUAAUUUGUUGGACUAAAAGCUUUCAAUUUAAUCAUAUCAACGAAAGUA
Durio zibethinus is the source of this 2107-nucleotide non-coding RNA. Lineage: Eukaryota; Viridiplantae; Streptophyta; Magnoliopsida; Malvales; Malvaceae. The record is from RefSeq and is a predicted model, not a curated record.